UCUCGGGGAGAGUGAGGUUGGACUCUCUCUCUCUCUCUCUCUGGAGGAUCUGGUGGAGGAGAUUCGGAGGAGGUCUGCAGGUGACCUCCCCUGGAUGCUGAAGACCUGUACACCUGGUACGUGGGUGAACUGCAUGUGUCAGUGCGUCAGUCAUCCCACCACAAGACGCUGUAUGUUAGAUAACCAACAGCAGGAAAAGCACUGACGCAUGAGAAGAUCAACACGUCCCAGAUAUCUCACACAUCAUGUGCUUCAUAUCCCGCCGUGUCUUCACCAGCUCUGGUUUUGGUCUCCUCCAACUCCACAGGGAAAUCAGCUGCUACCUGCUGUGUUUGUGUUUUCCGAGCCUGUGAACGCAUCACGAGACGCCGGAUGCUUUAAUCUUCCAGCCUCUUGUGUCUGAGCGGAUAAAGAUGGCUGCUGAAGGUUGAAUGUCGCAGCCCCUCAGCGUCUCUUUCAGCCACUCACGUGUUCAUAAAUUACCACGGCAACAUCAGAGACUGACUCACGAGGACGCCGGGAAUUACUUCAUUGUUGUGGGAAAACAAACGCACCUCGGAGGACGUUUGCAUAAACAUCGACGCCGGGGCUUCGCUCAGCAGCCCGUCACACACUCUUCUUCAUGUGCUUGUAAAGAGGGCAGUUUAACAUCGCAGGCUGACAUGAGGGGGAGUGACAGGGCCACUUAAUUUAAAGAAGCAUCACCCCGACCGCAGCAGGUUAAUGCACCUCCUCAGUAUUGGAUGUGAAGUCCGUGGCAUCACCUUAUUGAUCAGAACAUUUAACAUCAAUCCUGCUGCGUCCUUGUCGCCGCCGAGGCACAAUAAAGCUCCUGUACUCAUCUCAUCGGUGACAGCACAUGAUGCCAGAGUGAUGGAUCGCACGUCCGAGUCCUGACGUGGAGAAACGCGGCCGGACGUUUUUCCGCGAAGGACGGCGGACCGCUCGGCCGGCGAAGGUCGAACCGCUGGUGAUUUAUCAAAGCCACGGACGGACUUUCUCCUCCGGCUUCACUCCAGUGAAAUAUGUUGCUCCCUGAGAAGACGUCGAGCAUCAGAGCUGGUGAAUCAACUCUUAUGUAAUCGUCAUCUUUUUACAUUUAGAUUUUUGUUUGCUGCUUUCGCUCAAGUCACUGAAUCAAAAAUAACUUCAACCUUUGAGAAACUGAAGAGGUUUUUUGAGACAAUAGAAGAUUUGGAAAAUAAAUCUUAAUGUGCAGAGGAAAGUGGAUUUGUUUCAACCUGAAAGAAUUGCAGUUCACUCGUCCAGCAGGAAUUAAAAUCAUUAAAAAUACAUUAGGAAUUACUCAAAACUACGUCUGUAUUGCCAUGAAAUUUGGUGCAUUCGUGGUCCUCAGAGGAUGAAUCCUCUCGCUUGUCCUUUAGCAACAUCAGCAAGGUUUUGGUUCUGAGUGAAACAUCUCAACAGCUGUUGGAUGGAUUGUGAUGAUAUGGUUCAGACUUUCACGCUCCCCUGAGGAUGAACUCUAUUAACUCAACUGCUGAUCCUCUGAUUUUCCCUCAUCGUCACAUCAACAGUUAAUUAGUCCAAUACUUUGAUUCAUGACCAAAUAUCUGCAGAACUAAUGACGUUCCCAUCAGGCUAACACUGUAAAGAUUAAAUCUGUGUUAGCAUCUUAGCUUCCUGACGUUAGCUCAGAAUGCUAAAGAUAAAAGAUAGAUGUUCAGUGUUUUUGAAAGCUGUGAACUGCUGAAACUAAAACCUGAAAAACAAAGAUUUCUGUUUUGUUUUGUUUUUAAAAUCUUAUUUUCAUCCGUUUCAUUAUUUCACAAACGAACCAAAUAAGUCACUUAUUCUCACUUUAUGUAAAAUGUUUCAGACCGUCAUCAGGUGAAGCUCAUGACAUGUUUGACAUAUCUUACUAAAGGACGUUCUGAUGCACAAAAACUUUGUAGUAAUUGUUGAUAAAAGCUGAAACUGGAGCCUCAAGCAUCUUUCUCACUGUGUUCACUCUGAGGUUAAAAAUAACCUCAUGGUUAAUCCAUCCCAGCACGGAAAUCAAUCUAAAGUCAUUUGAGAAGCGAAACACACGUUGAGGUGGAGGCAGCUGAUUCUAAUUAAAUCGACCGGUUUGAUAAGGCAUCGUAACGCAACGACAAGCAAGAAAUCCCUGUGAUUACGGAGGGAAAACAGGACCGAUGGAGGCCUGAGUACACGCCAUCAUCCAUCCGUUAGGCCAUCGAUCCUCUCCCUCUAACUCGAACCGUCGCUCUGCAGCUCGGUGCUCAGGUGGUCACAGCCGGAUGGAAAUGCCACGCUGGGAUCACGGGGGCCGAGCCAGGCCCGGAGGCCCCUCUGGUGCGCCGCCUCCUGGCCCCCCGGCGCCCCGGGCCAUCCUCAACCCCUGCCACGCGAGAUGACAGAUGGCCGGCUUCCCACAACAACAUGCGCAGCUGAAGCGAAAUGCCAAACCUCCUGCACAGCCUUUAUCGGGGCUUUAUAGACGAGCAGGCCGGAGUCCUGAGGCGCUCCGGUUUUUAGGUUAACGCUCAAGAAGGGAGCAGUGAAGAAGAAGAGUUCACAGGAGAGAGCAGUCAGCAGGUUCCUACAGAGAACAAGGAGUUAUUAGCUGGAAUUUCAUAUCAGAUUUACCUACAGAGUCCUCAGAGGAGUAAUCCUGGUGACCUCUUGACCUUUAAUAUAGUUCGUUAAAGCUUUCUGCAGCAGGAUGGAGCCACUGGGUCACAGUGAACAUAAAGAUAUUAAAGCCAGUUACUGGUUUCCUGGUUGUGGCUGGUUUGUGAGUUUUUAAAGUGAAUGACCUGCUUCGAAAAAGAAAACCAGAAUCACCUCGUGGUUGUUUCCUUCACCAACCAGCCGAGUGACAGGACACACGGCCAGUCUCUCCUUCCUGAGCUACAGCCUUUAGAUGUGUUUUAACAUUAUGAUGUCACAGUGAAGUUGACCUUUGACCUUUUGGAUGUAAUAUGUCAUCACUUCAAAUUAUCCUUGUAGACAUUUGAGUUAAAUUGUGUCAUAAGUCGUGAAUGAAUUCGUGAGUUAUCGCCAAAAACGUGUUAAACGUCACAGUGGUCAAGGUCAAAGGCCAAGGUCACGGUGACCUUGGCCUUUGACCUUUGACCAUCACAAUCUUAUCAGUUCAUCCUUGAGUGCAAAUAAAUGUUUGUGACAAAUUUGAAGAAGUUGUUUCAAAGCGUUACUGAUCGUGGCGCCCUGAGGAUGAACCCUGAUGACUUUGGUAACGACUCUUCUAUCGGCAACAGUAAAUUACAGCUAAUACAUCUAAUUAUCUAAUUAUUAAUUAGCUUUAAUUUGUCCAGCACAAGUAACGGUGACACAUUAUAACUUGUCAUUUAUGUUGACAGAGUUACUGAGGAACGGAGCCACUCAGCUUGUUGCUGUUUGUCUUUAACACUCGACUCUGAGACAGAAGAGUCGGAUUCUCCAUCGGCGUUUCAGAGACGAAUCUUUUUCCUUUUCAUUCGAGCAGCUUCAGAAGAUUCUUCAGAUGUGUUGUUGCUCUGCAAAAAACAUCAGCAGUGUGAAGGUCUACAGUUUAAACAGGUUCUCACAAGGUUAUAAACACACACACACACACACACACACACACACACACACACCAUAUUGGGAGAUUAUGCACAUGAAGCCUCUGGGGAACUCGACUGUUGCUGAGCUGAGAGGCUUAUUUCUGAGACGAGGACAGAAACAGAGACUGAAGGCCACUGCUGCAGCUGAGACAC
Molecule: long non-coding RNA, 3722 nt
Organism: Seriola aureovittata
Lineage: Eukaryota; Metazoa; Chordata; Actinopteri; Carangiformes; Carangidae
Exons: 3
Source: RefSeq, a predicted model, not a curated record